AACGAACGCUGGGCGGCAGGCCUAACACAUGCAAGUCAAACGGCCUUCGGGGCAGUGGCGCACGGGUGCGUAACACGUGGGAAUUUACACUUCGGGUAAGGAAUAACACAGAGAAAUUUGUGCUAAUACCUUAUAAUGACUCCGGUCCAAAGAUUUAUCGCCGAGGGAUAAGCCCGCGCCUGAUUAGGUAGUUGGUGAGGUAAGAGCUCACCAAGCCGACGAUCAGUAGCUGGUUUUAGAGGAUGAUCAGCCACACUGGUACUGAGACACGGACCAG
RNAcentral lists this ribosomal RNA (277 nucleotides) under uncultured bacterium. RNAcentral's name for it is "partial 16S ribosomal RNA". It matches the Rfam family "Bacterial small subunit ribosomal RNA", at positions 29 to 334 of the family's 1533-position model. The record is from RNAcentral.